Molecule: long non-coding RNA, 1196 nt
Filed under: Cicer arietinum (chickpea)
Lineage: Eukaryota; Viridiplantae; Streptophyta; Magnoliopsida; Fabales; Fabaceae
Description: long non-coding RNA (CARI_LNC002063)
Source: RNAcentral
UAAAAUUAAAAUUACAAUAAAUAAACUCAUUAUGUCUCAUCAAUUUACAAUGCCAAAUCUAUUUAUAGUUUUAAAACCAAAUCAAGUUACAAAUUAAAAAUUAAGUCAAAUUAGUUUACAAUAAAAAUUAAUACAAAUUAAAUCAAAUCAAGGCAGUUGUUCCAGCCUGUUUUGCAUUUGUUUUGUUCUCUAUUGUUGCCAUUGCUCACUGCGAAGCCUUGAUCUGUUGACGCUGACUACUAUUGAUGCACAAGCCAUGCUCAUUGUUACAUUUGUACCUGUUGUAACUAAUUAGAGAAAUAAAAAUAUUAAUUUAAGUCAGCCAUUGUACAUAUUAUACAUAGCAAAUAGAUGAACUUUUGAGUUUAAAAGAAAAAACUAAAAGACAAAUUAAAGCUGCAAAUGAAAAUGCUCAGCAAAUGAACAAAUCAAAACAAAUAAUCCAAAACCAUGAAUGCAACAGAGGUGCAGAAAAAAACUCAGAUGAUGAGCAAAAGAAAAGAAACAUCAAGCAAGGAAUUAGAAAGCUCAAACUCAAACAAAGACACAAACAAAGAAAACAACUAAAUAGAUAAAAGAACACUAUAAAUACAUCUUUAAAUUUCAUAAAGGAUCGAAGAUGAACAUUAACAAGAAAAAUACCUAAAACGAAGAAGAAGAAAACAUAGUAAUAGCAAAGAAAAACAAAUAGAAGACGAAGAAUUAAGGUAAAUUUUUUUUCUCUCUUUACAUUAUAAUUAAUUUAUAUAUAUAUAUAUAUAUAUAUAUAUAUAUACAUGUAUAUAUCUAUCGAUUUAAAAUAGAAAAAACAAGAUAACAUUUUAAAUGAAAAUAAAAAGUAAAGUCAGAAAUCACAAACCUUCAACGAGUGUCAACGCCGCCGCCACACUCUCCAAAUAGUCUGGUACGUUACAUUUGAUCCAAUCUCGAUUUGAGAGAGUUGGAGAUUGCAAGAAGAGGAGACGGCGGCGCCAGUGCGUGCUACAACGUUAGUAAGGGUUCUUGGUUGCGGUCUUCAUCUAGGUCCUCCAUGUUGGCCGUGGUAUUCAUCUACGACCUAUGUGUCUGCUUCUUGCAAGGCUUCUAUAUCUUUUCUUCUUCUUUUUCCAGCUGGUGCUUUAUGCGGCCGCCUCACUAGUUUGUAAUAUAGGGUUUUGUUUAGUUUGUGACCUAGGGUUUCUGUGACGUUUUUUAAC